This 64-nucleotide transfer RNA is filed under the name Euchorthippus unicolor. RNAcentral describes it as "tRNA-Phe". RNAcentral also lists the same sequence under 2 other names. The record is from RNAcentral. Lineage: Eukaryota; Metazoa; Arthropoda; Insecta; Orthoptera; Acrididae.
ACCUAAAUAGCUUAUAUAGAGUGUGACAUUGAAGAUGUUAAGGAAUUAUGUUUAAUUUUAGGUG